AAAAAAAAAAAGGUCAGCUUCCAAUAUGCAAUAAAUGGAUGCGUACUAAAUUCAGAAGAAGCACAUUCAUGUGAGAUAAUUAAUUAUUCCAUCUGAAAUUCUGGAUAACUUCCAAGUACUAUAGUUGUAGAAAAGGAUUGUUUCAAUUUGCUGCCACAUGUGGAUAUAUAGUACAAAAGCUAAUUAUUACGAAGAAUCACAAAGUUCAAUGGAAUUACCAACAGUAAGGAACUAUUUUCUCACUGGGGAAAACAGAAGUAAAAAGUGAAAAGAGUGAAAGUGCCAUAUGCGGAGUACCAUAAACUAGUUAUGGAUAGUUCUUGGGCAUGGCUAUACUUCAAAAUCUUUACUACAAUCUCGCCCCUAAUGCUUUCCACAUAAUAUACUUAUUCAUGUAAAUACUGUUGCUAAAUCAUUGUUCGUUCCAGCAACGGAGAAACAAGAUUGAUAAGUUGGUGCUUAACAAAAUUGUAGCAUUUGGUGAGAAAUAUCAAAUUCUCAGGUAUUCUGGCAACCGACAAAGAGUUCAGUACCGACCCCUACCUCUAAAAUGGCUCUACAAAUGAGUCAGGCAAAAAGCGACUAAACUAUAUAUUUAACAUGGAUGUCAAGUUAGAGAAAAAUAUUAAAGAGUGAUAGAAGAGUGGUAAAUUAAGCACAUUGGUUACUGUAGGAAAAUUAAGGUUUAUGUACCAGGCUUCCAUCAGAAAUCACUGUUUCAGUACCUAAAAGACAAGAAGUAUUAAGUUUACCUUCACCAACAAAAAGAGCAUGCUUCCACAUGGCUCUUUUUUAGAAGUAGCAUCCAUGAGAAGUGGAGACAAUUUGGAU
Molecule: long non-coding RNA, 831 nt
Filed under: Musa acuminata (dwarf banana)
Lineage: Eukaryota; Viridiplantae; Streptophyta; Magnoliopsida; Zingiberales; Musaceae
Description: long non-coding RNA (MACU_LNC000196)
Source: RNAcentral